CCUUUGUUUAAUACAGGGUUUCCUUGGUCAUCUUUUAUAUCUCUCCAGACCACAGGAAAUCACUGCAGUUAAUGCAGUUAAACAAAAAUGAAAGGAAAAAUGGACUCAUCAGGAAAAGAUGGAGCUACUAAUGAGUAUAUUUUCCUGUUUCUGCAAAUCCAGUCUAAUGAUUGAGAAUUUGCCCUCUUCUAGUGCACUUUGGCUUUGAGUUUAUCCAACAACUUCCUCAUAAAGUCUUCUUUGUAAACACUGCCAGCUGGAAUUGCCAUCUUAUGGUCAUUUUAUCAGUACUUCCAUGCUAUUAUUUGAGAAGAGUUUAAUGGCUGCUCUGUCAUUGACUUCAGAUAUUGCUAUAAUGCUUCCCACAAGCCAAGUGCUGCAGACUUUGAUGUUCGUUCUCCAACAACAGGAGAUUUGGGGUAUGUUAUCCCAUCAUCAAUCCUCCAGCUUACACUACUGCAGCAGAUGGUACAUAGAAACCCAGGGUGUAUUCUUGUGAUGAAGAAGUAAAUAAAAGUAUAUGACACUAUAAUGCUGACUUCA
Molecule: long non-coding RNA, 543 nt
Filed under: Anser brachyrhynchus (Pink-footed goose)
Lineage: Eukaryota; Metazoa; Chordata; Aves; Anseriformes; Anatidae
Description: lncRNA (ENSABRG00000001899.1)
Source: RNAcentral